GCGGGUGUGGCGGAGCUGGCAGACGCAGAGGACUUAAAAUCCUUGGGGCCGCGAGGCCCGUGUGGGUUCGAACCCCACCACCCGCACCG
RNAcentral lists this transfer RNA (89 nucleotides) under Nitriliruptor sp. RNAcentral's name for it is "tRNA-Leu". It matches the Rfam family "tRNA". From Rfam's summary of the family: Transfer RNA (tRNA) molecules are approximately 80 nucleotides in length. Their secondary structure includes four short double-helical elements and three loops (D, anti-codon, and T loops). Lineage: Bacteria; Bacillati; Actinomycetota; Nitriliruptoria; Nitriliruptorales; Nitriliruptoraceae. The record is from RNAcentral.